This 3217-nucleotide small RNA is filed under the name Rattus norvegicus (Norway rat). RNAcentral describes it as "uncharacterized LOC108352448". Lineage: Eukaryota; Metazoa; Chordata; Mammalia; Rodentia; Muridae. The record is from RNAcentral.
UCUAACUCCAGUUCCAGGGGACCCAUCCAAUACCCUCUUCUGGCCUCUGUGGACAUACACACACUCAGGCACACAUGAAUAUGCAUAGGGUAAAUAGAUCGAUUUAAUUUUAUAAAAGUGUUGACUUGAGACAUCCGUCAUUGAGCUGCCCGAAUGCCCUCUGAGCAUGCACCACGUCUGCGCUCAUUCAUCAGAUCACAACUGUGACCCCAGGCCUCAGGCCAUGAAGGCAGGAGGCUGAGACACUCAAGGUCAUCCUCAGCCACACUGAGUCUGAGGCCAGCCUGGGCUGUCUGAGCAGACUGUGGACACCCAGUUAGCCCCUGGACACUGCUGUCCAGUUGCGCACGGCGAGCAGGCCCCUCGGCCUCUCUAGGCCUGUUCCUUCUAGCCAGCUGUGGAGAGCGCCCCGUGCACCCGCCUCGUCCUGUGUGUAAGCAGAGCACACUCAAAACCACAAGGGACAAGCAGAAGCUCAGCGACUACAGCCAUCUGCUUCUCCGUGAAAUUCCGAUAGUUGUCCCAGUGCAAAGACCUAAUUUAAUGUAUGCAUAUUCCAUCGUUAAUGUCCAGCAAUUCAGCUCCCUUGUACUCUGCAGUAGACUGACUAAAAGUGACUUUGACACCCCUUUGGUGCCUACGAAAGGGACGAUGUGGGCGCUGUGCCAGCCAGGGUGCUGUCAGAACCUGCUCUAUGGCUUGCGGUGCCAUCAGCUUUCCUUCCUAAAAACCUCCAGCUACUCAAUGUUACAAAACGGCCACACAGAACAUCUGGGAGCUGAUGAAAUUAAAUCGAGAGAGUGAGAAACGACCGCCUUGGAGCUGCUCCUUAGGAAACACCCGAUGACUCACCGUGAAAACCUCAAGCCACCAUUUCAUGCCCCUGUGGAAUCAAAAUGGUCCUUGUGAGUCUUGGGGCUUUCACAGCCAGAGCAGGAACAAUGAAGGAAGGCCCACACUGCCUGGCAGCUCACACUCCUCCCCUCCUCAAGUGACCCAGCUCGCACGUGAAGAUGAGGGUCAGAAGCUCAGAGACUGACCCACAUCGGCAGGUGCCUGGGCAAAUCUCUCAGGUUAAAGUGGAAUUAUUUUUAGCACUCGGCCAACAACCGUAUUAGGUCUGACACCUCAGCUUUCUUUCUUGUGUGGCGCUGGCGACUGAAGGGCGGCGGCGUGCAUGCUGGAUCCCUGCUCUAAACCGUGCUAGAGCGCUGGUCUCAAACUCAGAUCCCCUGCCUCCACUGCCCAAAGGCUGGGAUUAAAGGUUCCACGGUAGCAACCCCUUGGACUCCUAAGAACUUAGGAUUCGUCUCCAGCACCCACGCAGUGGCUCCCAACACCUGUGCAACUCCGGCUCCAAGGGACCCAGCACCCUCCCAGCCUCCAUGAGCAUGCACAUAUGACAUUCACUAAAGGUAUCUCUGUAUAGCCCUAGCUGUCCUGGAACUUAUGCUGCAGAGCGGGUUGACCUCGAACGCAGAGAUCUGCGCGUCUCUGACUCACGAAUAUUGGGACUAAAGGUGUCACUACCAGCGCCUGGCUUCGCUUUUUCGUAAGGCAUCUUCAAAGGACGUAUGUGACAGCACUGGCUUGACAUGAUGAACACAGGAAACUCUCUGGUGAGCUCAUAGGAAACAGAAGGAAGACAAUGGAGGAGGAGACAAUAGCAGCAGCUUCCUCCUCGUUGUGACCACCAGCAAGCCAGGCCUCCCUUUGGAGCAAUUCCAAACCAGCUGAUGGGAUGGGAUGAAGCCUGGCGUCUGUCUCAAAAUAACUGGGGGUGGAGGAGGGGGCGACAGAGGAGAGCCGGGUCAAGCUUGGUCGUGAAUGGAGUGUUGUUGAAACUGAAUGAGAGCUGUGCUCGCCUCUACCUUGACCGACUGGAAACUUCCCAUAAUACCAAGUUUAAGUACAGUGAUGGCGACACUAACAAUGUCAAAGAAAAAUCACUCGUGUGCCUGCUUCGUGAGCUUCCAGGUGAGGUUUGCAGUCAUGGGGGCCUAUGAACUUAGCAGCAGGCUGGGGGUGCAGGCAAGAGCCACAGGAGACACCCCUCACCUCACAGGAGCCAAUAGCGAAUUCUACCCUAAUCUUUAAGCAGGUGUAGGCAGGGAAGAACAAAGAAGGGGAGAAUGCUUACUGUCAUGCUUCUGAGGAACCCUUACUUCACAGGGCUUAUGUAACGAUUUAUGUUAAAACACAGAAUCAGAGAUUCCAGUCCUGGGCACACCAUCUGAUGAUGAAUCACGCAUUCUCUACUGCAUGCACAGGGAAAGAAUUUGCUCUUAACCAGGCCCUGGUCCAACAGCCACAUUAACUUAAAUUACAAAUCAGGGGGCUGAGUGGCUGGACAGUCCCUCCAACCAGCCACCUCGUGGAGCAGCACCACCUUUCAGAUACCUGUUGCCUUUAGCAGACGAAUCCCGGGCAAAAUGCCACAGGCUCAAUCAUUGAGGGGAAAAAGAAACUCAACAUUACUUCAGCUUUCCAAAAAAGCUAAAAAGGGAAAUUUACAUCUGGAGAGUGCUUACUAAUCUACCAGGGAAAGAGGUGGGCGCUCGGCCAGACUCAAGCAAGGGUCAGAGUAACCUACACCACAUGUAUUUAUGACACGCAGACCACAAGGAAGAGGGGAACCAAGCCUGAAUAAAGCUGUUAGUCAAAAUGCCUAUGUAAAGGACAAAACCCCCAAACUGCUGAAACUGUGACCGGGAAGACUCCUAAAGACACCCACAGAAGUCAGCACAGUGUUUCCCAGCAGCAGCAGCAGCAGCAGCAGCAGCAGCAGCAGCAGCAGCAGCAGCAGCAGCAGCAGCAGCAGCAGCAGCAGGGUCACCGUGUAUAGCAGUGCCGUGUGCUUGCAUUAGGAACUCCAGUCCUAGCAUGAAUGGAAAAUGUUUACAGGCCACUGAGGGAAGAAAACAGACCUUCUUUGUAAUGGCAUUUGGCUGUGCCUAGGGGGUCCUCUAAUUUUCAGACAGAGAAGGGCACGGGAAGGGACCUGUCUAACCGGGAGCUGAUCCUCCAUGUGACCACCGAGUGUGCAGAGAUCUGCUUGCUAUGAAACGUAAGACGGCCUGGAUUACAAAACACUCAGGGCCAGCAACAAGAACACGGCCUAGCAGCCUUCAGAGUUUGCUACUGAACACACAGAAAAGGUCUUUGGGUCUAAUGUAUUAAUUAAAUGUAUUAAAUAAAAUUAACUGCAUUCCAUUGA